This 442-nucleotide ribosomal RNA is filed under the name uncultured bacterium. RNAcentral describes it as "bacterial SSU rRNA". It matches the Rfam family "Bacterial small subunit ribosomal RNA", at positions 340 to 774 of the family's 1533-position model. The record is from RNAcentral.
UACGGGAGGCAGCAGUGGGGAAUAUUGCACAAUGGGCGCAAGCCUGAUGCAGCCAUGCCGCGUGUAUGAAGAAGGCCUUCGGGUUGUAAAGUACUUUCAGUCGUGAGGAAGGUGUUAAGGUUAAUAACCUUAGCAAUUGACGUUAGCGACAGAAGAAGCACCGGCUAACUCCGUGCCAGCAGCCGCGGUAAUACGGAGGGUGCGAGCGUUAAUCGGAAUUACUGGGCGUAAAGGGCACGCAGGCGGUUAAUUAAGUUGGAUGUGAAAUCCCCGGGCUUAACCUGGGAAUGGCAUUCAAGACUGGUUAGCUAGAGUCUUGUAGAGGGGGUAGAAUUCCAUGUGUAGCGGUGAAAUGCGUAGAGAUGUGGAGGAAUACCGGUGGCGAAGGCGGCCCCUGGGACAAAGGACUGACGCUCAUGUGCGAAAGCGUGGGGAGCGAAAC